This 1101-nucleotide ribosomal RNA is filed under the name Triticum aestivum (bread wheat). Its description in RNAcentral is "partial small subunit ribosomal RNA". Lineage: Eukaryota; Viridiplantae; Streptophyta; Magnoliopsida; Poales; Poaceae. The record is from RNAcentral.
AUGGGUGGCGGCGUUGAUGGCAACGAGACCGAGAGCUGUGGCGGCGUCCCUUCUGUGUGGAGUAGAGGUAGCUCUCCCGUCGGAAGUAGUCGCGCCGCCGUCGCUGUGGCAGGCAGUGUGGCCAGCGCCGGCGUCAGCGAGGAGAGCGUGGCACUGUGUAGCCGCGCCGUUGUCGCCGGAGGUAGUGGCGGCGUUGUCCUUCCAGCGAGGUCGUCCGCGCCGGUCGUGGGAUGGUCUCGCAUCCCGGACUCGCGUGUCUUCCCUCAGGAGGUGUGGCAGCGCGGUGAGCCGGAUUUGCGCCCCGCGCGAGGCCGCGUUCUCAUCGCUCGCACUGCUGGCAUGGCGGCGCUAGAGCAGGCAUUCCACGGGAGAGCGUUGUAUGCCACCAUCAUUGGACAGCCGCGGAGCCUGGUGACGCCGGAGGCACUCGCCGCGGCGAUGGCGUCUCAUUGUGCCAUCAGGCCGGCAGCCAUGAAGGUGGAGGUGACCAGCCCACCAUUCCACUUUUUCGUGCGGUUUGACUCGCUAGAGGAUUGCACUCGUGUGGUGCUCGCGUCGGAGCAGGUGCGUUGCAGCGGCAGCAGAAUUAGUUUUCAACAUUGGUCAAGUUUGUCGCGUGGUAGGCCGUUGAAGCUAGAGUACAAGACGACGCUGAGCUUGGAGGGGCUCCCGGAAGAGGCCUGGGACCCGGAUACCGUCAACCUGGUGCUCGCCGGUGUCGACGGUGAGCUCAUCGACAUGCUCCCGGCUACUGACAAGUGGGUGCUGCCUUGCACAGCGUGGCUACGCAAUCCUAGUGCUGUUCCGAAGGUGCUCACUGUCUCUGUUCCGGCUCCUCCUCUGCAACCGUGGACGCCGGACUCCGAUGACGAGAAUGCUCAUUCACCGCCGUGCCCGAACUCUCCAACUGAUCAUGGCACCAUUGAUUUUCCAGUGACCAUGCAUGUCAAGGAGGUCAUCGACCGUGGCCCAUUGCUAACUGAAGGGUUGGCUGAUGAGUUACUCCCCGACGAAGACGCAGAUCUCAGCCGCAAGCACACUUUCACAACCUGGCGCGGCAAGAUAGUUGGUACUGGACCUGGACCAUAUGGUAAUGCUUAA